CAGUCGCCGCGGUAAUACGAAGGGGGCUAGCGUUGCUCGGAAUGACUGGGCGUAAAGGGCGCGUAGGCGGCGAUCAAAGUCAGGCGUGAAAUUCCUGGGCUCAACCUGGGGGCUGCAUUUGAUACUGUUUGGCUUGAGUUCGGGAGAGGUGAGUGGAAUUCCCAGUGUAGAGGUGAAAUUCGUAGAUAUUGGGAAGAACACCAGUGGCGAAGGCGGCUCACUGGACCGACACUGACGCUGAGGCGCGAAAGCGUGGGGAGCAAACAGGAUUAGAUACCCCUGUAGUCCCUGUCUCUUAUAC
This 301-nucleotide ribosomal RNA is filed under the name uncultured bacterium. RNAcentral's name for it is "partial 16S ribosomal RNA". It matches the Rfam family "Bacterial small subunit ribosomal RNA", at positions 509 to 807 of the family's 1533-position model. The record is from RNAcentral.